RNAcentral lists this ribosomal RNA (498 nucleotides) under uncultured bacterium. Its description in RNAcentral is "partial 16S ribosomal RNA". It matches the Rfam family "Bacterial small subunit ribosomal RNA", at positions 30 to 523 of the family's 1533-position model. The record is from RNAcentral.
AUUGAACGCUGGCGGCAUGCCUUACACAUGCAAGUCGAACGGUAACAGGUCUUCGGAUGCUGACGAGUGGCGAACGGGUGAGUAAUACAUCGGAACGUGCCUAGUAGUGGGGGAUAACUACUCGAAAGAGUGGCUAAUACCGCAUGAGAUCUACGGAUGAAAGCAGGGGAUCGCAAGACCUUGUGCUACUAGAGCGGCCGAUGGCAGAUUAGGUAGUUGGUGGGAUAAAAGCUUACCAAGCCGACGAUCUGUAGCUGGUCUGUGAGGACGAUCAGCCACACUGGGACUGAGACACGGCCCAGACUCCGACGGGAGGAAGCAGUGGGGAAUUUUGGACAAUGGGCGAAAGCCUGAUCCAGCAAUGCCGCGUGCAGGAUGAAGGCCUUCGGGUUGUAAACUGCUCUUGUACGGAACGAAAAGCCCCGGGUUAAUACCCUGGGGUCAUGACGGUACCGUAAGAAUAAGCGCCGGCUAACUACGUGCCAGCAGCCGCCGUAA